AUACGUAGGGGGCGAGCGUUGUCCGGAAUGAUUGGGCGUAAAGGGCGCGUAGGCGGCGCGGUAAGUCUGGAGUGAAAGUCCUGCUUUCAAGGUGGGAAUUGCUUUGGAUACUGCCGCGCUUGAGUGCAGGAGAGGUUAUCGGAAUUCCCGGUGUAGCGGUGAAAUGCGUAGAGAUCGGGAGGAACACCAGUGGCGAAGGCGGGUAACUGGACUGCAACUGACGCUGAGGCGCGAAAGUGUGGGGAGCAAACAGGAUUAGAUACCCUGGUAGUCCACACUGUAAACGAUGAAUGCUAGGUGUAAGAGGUAUCGACCCCUUUUGUGCCGGAGUCAACACAAUAAGCAUUCCGCCUGGGGAGUACGGUCGCAAGAUUGAAACUCAAAUGAAUUGGCGGGG
RNAcentral lists this ribosomal RNA (397 nucleotides) under uncultured bacterium. Its description in RNAcentral is "partial 16S ribosomal RNA". It matches the Rfam family "Bacterial small subunit ribosomal RNA", at positions 523 to 918 of the family's 1533-position model. The record is from RNAcentral.